UUACCGAUAACUGUCAGCCAAACCGUCCCCUGGUACUUUUUUUUGUUAUUAAUCGUGAUUUAUUUAUUAAAAAGUGGACUUGGAAAGUGUUAAGACUGUGUAUAAACAGCGAGUUAUAUCAGUAUCCAAGAUAAAUAUUCGCAAUUGCGUAAAUCCAGUUUAAUACUAUGGCGAUAUGGAAUGUACGAAAGAUUCUCAUAUUAGGCAUUAAUAUGCCUCUGUUUGAUGAAAAAUGAACACAGAAGACCCAAGAGAGGAAUACCAAUACCGCUAUUAUUAUGCAUUCUAGCAGCACUUCGAUUCUAUGUAACGGGAUGUUUCCAGACUGUAGGUGCAGUCCAUCAAGCAUUCUAAUAAAUAACAGAAAUGCCACAAGUCAAGCUGUAUCGAUGGCACACAUAGGUAUAUAUAUAAACAACCCCGGAGGACCCUAUGCACAGAUUUAAAGAAACCGGCUAUCAUGGCAGGGAAUAGCAGUGAUGAGCUCUGAGAAUACUUUAGUCCUUGAAAAUCCGAGUUUUCAGAUCACAGUAAUUGGAAGACCCACAUACCUUGAAAAGUCAGCAGCAUUUAAUAUCGAGGUAGUAGGAGUGAGUGCAGUGUAUUGUAAGGUGGUCACUCACUCUGAAAUCCAUAACAAUAGAAAAUAUAUACAAAUCUUAACUGAAUGAAUGAUGGAAAAUAAAAAUUUAUUGAUUCACAUUUUUAAUAAAGAUAAUUAUUAAAUGUUUA
Bicyclus anynana (squinting bush brown) is the source of this 732-nucleotide long non-coding RNA. RefSeq lists it as uncharacterized. The record is from RefSeq and is a predicted model, not a curated record. The transcript is spliced from 2 exons. NCBI's taxonomy places the organism in Eukaryota, Metazoa, Arthropoda, Insecta, Lepidoptera, Nymphalidae.